AUAUGUCUACGUUGUAGAGAUGGCGUAACAUGGCGUCUUGAAGGGCCAUUCUCGCUUCUCUCUGAUUGUACUGUGUUGUAUCGUCGCAAAAAUAUCACUUAGAACACGUCGGUUUUCUGUUCCGACUACCCUGGACUGCCUCGCGACUUUUAUUUAAGCGAGGAUUCUACCAGAUUCUACAGAGACUAAAAAGUAAAAUAUAAAAAAAUGGCACUCGGUGGUACGUUGUACAGACUCGUUCUCAAACGUACGUCCACGUUCACGGUAGCCGUCAUAGCUUCCGCCUUCGUUUUCGAAAGAGCGUUUGAUAUGGCCUCCGAGAAGAUUUUCGACUCUAUUAACAAAGGAAAACAAUGGAAGGACAUCAAGCACAAGUACGAGAAUUGAAUAUUUUAGGGACAAUAUGUGUUAGAUCUAAAUAUAUGUUCUACCUCUGGAGUUGUCCUCUUUAGGACCCAAGAAACGACCAGCAAAGAGAGUCUCGCUUGUUACCAGAUCAACAAUAGCAAAGAUAAAUGGUCUGUUUGCUAUGACAGUUGGCACCAUGUUACCCAUGAGAGGUACAAUUGCAAAUUCUGCAAUGAGCAUUUAAUGAGCAUUAGUACUUCGUAAGCUGCAAUACCUUGAAAGAAAUAAUAUAAAUUACACUAAUAAUUACCGGUCGCCGCGGCAGCAAUGGUUCCCUCCUCGUCAA
This is an RNA transcript of Solenopsis invicta (red fire ant), 694 nucleotides long. It is a transcript of the gene named cytochrome b-c1 complex subunit 9, with no coding region annotated. Lineage: Eukaryota; Metazoa; Arthropoda; Insecta; Hymenoptera; Formicidae. The transcript is spliced from 3 exons. The record is from RefSeq and is a predicted model, not a curated record.